AAGUCGUAACAAGGUUUCCGUAGGUGAACCUGCGGAAGGAUCAUUAACACGUAUCCAACGUUAAACCCCCCUGUGAACCUUAAGCGUGCUCUUGCAGCCUCUAUAGGAACAGCAAUCCUGGUAAAUCAGUCCGAGAAAAGUUUUUGAUUCAGGACCUCUGUCUAAAAGGAUGCAAUCGAGCGCUGGAGCAAGUGGCUUGGUUUCCCCAAGCAGUUAGUAUUCUGAAAGUGUUGCUAAUUGUGCAAGGAUAACGCUUUACGAUUGCUGUAGGCCGAACACCGGCCGGCGCACGCCCCCUAGCUCACAAACCCAAGUUAUCUAUAACACGCCUCCACAGCAAGUGCGCCGGAGCUUACGUCCAAAACUGAACAACUGUUAACAAUGGAUAUCUUGGUUCUC
Molecule: unclassified non-coding RNA, 399 nt
Filed under: fungal sp.
Lineage: Eukaryota; Fungi
Description: partial internal transcribed spacer region
Rfam family: Eukaryotic small subunit ribosomal RNA (bases 1-46)
Source: RNAcentral